RNAcentral lists this ribosomal RNA (434 nucleotides) under uncultured Lachnospiraceae bacterium. RNAcentral's name for it is "partial 16S ribosomal RNA". It matches the Rfam family "Bacterial small subunit ribosomal RNA", at positions 341 to 792 of the family's 1533-position model. Lineage: Bacteria; Bacillati; Bacillota; Clostridia; Lachnospirales; Lachnospiraceae. The record is from RNAcentral.
ACGGAAGGCAGCAGUGGGGAAUAUUGCACAAUGGGGGAAACCCUGAUGCAGCGACGCCGCGUGAGUGAAGAAGUAUUUCGGUAUGUAAAGCUCUAUCAGCAGGGAAGACAAUGACGGUACCUGACUAAGAAGCCCCGGCUAACUACGUGCCAGCAGCCGCGGUAAUACGUAGGGGGCAAGCGUUAUCCGGAUUUACUGGGUGUAAAGGGAGCGUAGACGGUCGAGCAAGUCUGAUGUGAAAGCCCGGGGCCCAACCCCGGAACUGCAUUGGAAACUGUUUGACUAGAGUGCAGGAGAGGUAAGUGGAAUUCCUAGUGUAGCGGUGAAAUGCGUAGAUAUUAGGAGGAACACCAGUGGCGAAGGCGGCUUACUGGACUGUAACUGAUGUUGAGGCUCGAAAGCGUGGGGAGCAAACAGGAUUAGAUACCCUGGUA